GACGAACGCUGGCGGCGUGCCUAAUACAUGCAAGUAGAACGCUGAAGGAGGAGCUUGCUUCUCUGGAUGAGUUGCGAACGGGUGAGUAACGCGUAGGUAACCUGCCUGGUAGUGGGGGAUAACUAUUGGAAACGAUAGCUAAUACCGCAUAAUAGCAGUUGUUGCAUGAUAACUGUUUGAAAGGUGCAAUUGCACCGCUACCAGAUGGACCUGCGUUGUAUUAGCUAGUUGGUGGGGUAACGGCUCACCAAGGCGACGAUACAUAGCCGACCUGAGAGGGUGAUCGGCCACACUGGGACUGAGACACGGCCCAGACUCCUACGGGAGGCAGCAGUAGGGAAUCUUCGGCAAUGGACGGAAGUCUGACCGAGCAACGCCGCGUGAGUGAAGAAGGUUUUCGGAUCGUAAGGCUCUGUUGUAAGAGAAGAACGAGUGUGAGAGUGGAAAGUUCACACUGUGACGGUAUCUUACCAGAAAGGGACGGCUAACUACGUG
RNAcentral lists this ribosomal RNA (495 nucleotides) under uncultured bacterium. Its description in RNAcentral is "partial 16S ribosomal RNA". It matches the Rfam family "Bacterial small subunit ribosomal RNA", at positions 28 to 507 of the family's 1533-position model. The record is from RNAcentral.